GGUUGAUGGUAUGUCUAGCCGCC
Molecule: non-coding RNA, 23 nt
Filed under: Rattus norvegicus (Norway rat)
Lineage: Eukaryota; Metazoa; Chordata; Mammalia; Rodentia; Muridae
Source: RNAcentral